AACACGUGGGUAACCUGCCUGUAAGACUGGGAUAACUCCGGGAAACCGGGGCUAAUACCGGAUGCUUGAUUGAACCGCAUGGUUCAAUCAUAAAAGGUGGCUUUUAGCUACCACUURCAGAUGGACCCGCGGCGCAUUAGCUAGUUGGUGAGGUAACGGCUCACCAAGGCGACGAUGCGUAGCCGACCUGAGAGGGUGAUCGGCCACACUGGGACUGAGACACGGCCCAGACUCCUACGGGAGGCAGCAGUAGGGAAUCUUCCGCAAUGGACGAAAGUCUGACGGAGCAACGCCGCGUGAGUGAUGAAGGUUUUCGGAUCGUAAAACUCUGUUGUUAGGGAAGAACAAGUACCGUUCGAAUAGGGCGGYACCUUGACGGUACCUAACCAGAAAGCCACGGCUAACUACGUGCCAGCAGCCGCGGUAAUACGUAGGUGGCAAGCGUUGUCCGGAAUUAUUGGGCGUAAAGCGCGCGCAGGCGGUUUCUUAAGUCUGAUGUGAAAGCCCCCGGCUCAACCGGGGAGGGUCAUUGGAAACUGGGGAACUUGAGUGCAGAAGAGGAGAGUGGAAUUCCACGUGUAGCGGUGAAAUGCGUAGAGAUGUGGAGGAACACCAGUGGCGAAGGCGACUCUCUGGUCUGUAACUGACGCUGAGGCGCGAAAGCGUGGGGAGCGAACAGGAUUAGAUACCCUGGUAGUCCACGCCGUAAACGAUGAGUGCUAAGUGUUAGAGGGUUUCCGCCCUUUAGUGCUGCAGCAAACGCAUUAAGCACUCCGCCUGGGGAGUACGGUCGCAAGACUGAAACUCAAAGGAAUUGACGGGGGCCCGCACAAGCGGU
Molecule: ribosomal RNA, 838 nt
Filed under: Bacillus licheniformis
Lineage: Bacteria; Bacillati; Bacillota; Bacilli; Caryophanales; Bacillaceae
Description: bacterial SSU rRNA
Source: RNAcentral